This 695-nucleotide long non-coding RNA is filed under the name Triticum aestivum (bread wheat). RNAcentral's name for it is "long non-coding RNA (TAES_LNC001964)". The record is from RNAcentral. Lineage: Eukaryota; Viridiplantae; Streptophyta; Magnoliopsida; Poales; Poaceae.
UCGCCAACGUGGCGAAGGCGUGCAACGACCGCGCGGAAGGUUCGCGGGAGUCGUCGUCGCUCCCGAGGGAGGAGGUGAUCCGGCGCCUGCGCCUGCUGCGCCAGCCGGCCACGCUCUUCGGCGAGGACGACGCCGCGCGCCUCCGCCGCCUCCACGACGCGCUCGAGGACCCCGCCGCGGUCGCGGGCGUGGACGCCGCGGAGAUCGGGGAGGGCCAGACCAACGACUUCCUCCGCGACUUCCAGGCCCCGCGCGCCAGGGCCGCGGCCGUGGCGUCCAAGCCCAAGGCCGGCGCGGCCGACAGGAGCGACGGCGACGGCGAGAAAGAGAAGGAGGAGGCGCCGUUCGACGAGCUCUGCGACGAGGACAAGAUCGUGGCCUUCUUCAAGCGGCUGCUGAGCGAGUGGGGCCAGGAGCUGGACGAGACGCCGGACGCGGAGCGGCGCACGGCCAGGGGCAAGGCGGCGGUGGCCACCUGCAAGCAGUGCGCGCGCUACCUGGAGCCGCUCUUCAGGCUGUGCAGGAAGAAGGCCCUCCCCGGCGACGUCCGGCGCGCGCUGCUGGACGUGGUGCGGUGCUGCGCGCGGCGGGACUACCUGGCGGCGACGGACAGCUACAUCAGGCUGGCGAUCGGCAACUCGCCGUGGCCGAUCGGGGUGACCAUGGUGGGCAUCCACGAGCGGUCGGCCCGGGAG